RNAcentral lists this ribosomal RNA (253 nucleotides) under uncultured bacterium. RNAcentral describes it as "partial 16S ribosomal RNA". It matches the Rfam family "Bacterial small subunit ribosomal RNA", at positions 524 to 776 of the family's 1533-position model. The record is from RNAcentral.
UACGUAGGGGGCUAGCGUUGUCCGGAUUUAUUGGGCGUAAAGAGCGUGUAGGCGGCCAGGUAGGUCUGCUGUGAAAACUCGAGGCUCAACCUCGAGACGUCGGCGGAAACCAUCUGGCUAGAGUCCGGAAGAGGAGAGUGGAAUUCCUGGUGUAGCGGUGAAAUGCGCAGAUAUCAGGAAGAACACCCGUGGCGAAGGCGGCGUCCUGGACCAACACUGACACUGAGGAGCGAAAGCCAGGGGAGCAAACGGG